CGCAGCGCGGCCGGGGGAGGGGGGCGCGGGGACGGCGGCGCCGGGGCAGGCCGGGAAGGAGGGAAGCGGGGCCUCGCGCGGGGAGCGGCGCCUUCACCGCUGGCCGCGCCGCGCCGCGCCGCGCCGCUCCGCUCCGCGGGGCCGCGCCGCCUCCGCCGCGGGCCGGGAGCCGCCGCCGCGGCCGGGCGGCAGCGCCGGGGGCCAGGGCGCCUCUCGCGGAGGAGGCGCCGCGCCGGCCCCGGCGAGGUGAGGCAGCCUCUCACGGCGUAAAGCGCUGAAGGUGUCGCGUGCUUUAGCGUUGGAAGGGCUUAAUGAAGCAGCUCAGACGUCUGUGCAGUGGAGUAGAAGAGAUGUCUGUGAUCCAGUCUGUGUGCCCAGGAACAGCUACAGACUCGCUGUUUUAACUGCUUGUACUUCAGCUAACAGGAACUGGAAUUCAUAUGAUACUGUUAUCCUCAUACAGAAACAAAGUUUCUUCCAGCAAAAUUUUUGAUCCUAUUAAAUGUUUUGGACCUGCUCCUCAGAGUGCUGUACUUGGGUUCCAGAGGGUUUAAAGUGCUGCCUAUAUCCUGGGAGAAAGAUGGCAAUUGACACCUCGAUUUCUGGCAUGGUGAAAUUCUCCAUAAUAUGGAUGGAGCUCCAAGUUGUCAGAUACAGAAUUUCUUGAGAGGCUGGUGUUGAACAGUGAAAUAGACUCUGCUGAGAAAGGUACCUGCAAGUUUUGUAGUCGUGGUUCUGCUGAGAUUUUUCCCAGUAAGCAGGGUAAGCACCCCUCAAUUUCUUGCUUACUAGAUUUGAACACUGAAUUAAAUCAUCUUCAGAGGAAAAUUUAGUCUCCUUCCCUCCAUUUUGGGGGGAGGUAGGAGGGAAGGAAAGUAAAGUAAGAAGGAGGGAGGAAAAUAAGCGGUAGAGAGAACAUUCUUGAAUGAUUUUUUUUUUUUUUUUUUUCCCUUAACAAAUUAAAUUUCUACAAGCUUCAGAUUUCACAUAUGUCUGUGAGGUACUCAUAUUUUAAACCGAAACAAAGAUUUAUUCUCUGUUUUCUAACAACCUAAUUGAUCUGAGCUGUCUGUAAUGGAAUAACAGUUGCAUAAGCUUUGGAAGUUCAUAUCCCAUUUGUAUGCUAAUAUCUCUUCAAGUCAGAUUUCUCUUCGGGGCUGGGCAUAAAAACAAAGUACUGCAAUCACUCGCUGAUCAAAAAUGACUUAAGAAUAUGUAUUUUCUCAGUUUAACCUUGAGCAGAAUAUUUUUGGCAUCACAACAGAUUCAUUUGCAUUGACUUGUGAGUGCUUUUAAAGUAUAGCCUUUUAUAAUUAAAGUUUUUAACGUUUGGUUAUUUAUGCAGAGCUUAUAGGAAUCUUGUUUGUUUGUAAUUUUGCAUUUGAAAUUUUGAGGAAAUGGGACAAUUGCAAAGAUUUGCUUGGUCUUUGAUAGGAUAGCAGCUCUAGAGUUGAUAGGAUAUCAGCUGUAGGUUUGAGAAACCCAGUAUUUUCUUAAACUUCCUCACACAGUUGUUAUAUGUUAAUUAGUUUACAUCUCUACUGUGCUUUGAAGCCGUAAAGUGCUGCUGUUCUUUAAUUAACAACAUGGUAGAGAUCACCAUAUUUAAAUUGAUCCAGACAAUUCAUAAUACAUUUAAAACCAUUCUUUCAAUAAGACCUGCUGCCAUAGUCUGUAUUGUGCUUUUAAUUACUCCAUUAUUCUAUUGAAUGCCAAAAUCUGGGGUUUGCAUCUUGUCUCUAAAGAAUGAAGACAUUCAAAUGUCUUCCAGGCAUUCCAGGCAUUUUUGAGCAAUAGUUUUACCAGCCAAAAACUUCCCCAUUGACAUCAGAGCAACUUCAGACAAGACAGAAAUGCAGUAAUUGGCUAUUGCAUUCACUGUCUCUCCGACCUGGCAGUCACAGUGGUAGUUACUAUACUUGGCUUUUGAAAUCAGAAGAGAGGAAAGUAGAGGAGGAUUCAAGUAUGUGGAAGACUUCCAAAUAUGUGUACAUGUUCUGAACAUACAUAUUUCUUGUUCCUCUGUUCUCAAAGGAUGGAAAUUUUGUUUGCUGGAUGCCUUUACUAAGAGUAUCAUAAACUGAGCCCAACAAAAUGAUCUUAUUACAGCAAGAUCUUACUCUGUUAAUUGUUCCCUUACCUGCUUUGUCCCACCUAACUUCAGGCACUUAAGCUAGAUAGCUAAUUCAGGAGCCCACUCACUAGUCCAUGGAAGACAGGAGAAAGAGCUGAAUCUCCGUUUGGAGGAGUUUGUUCCUUUCUGUAACUGUAAAAAGAAACCCAGAAUAUUAGACAUUUUACAAAUUAUCUUAAUUGAUUAAGUGCCUAAAUUUGAGUAGUAUGAAUUCACACCUUUGUAACAGAAACUGGCUUAGUGCUGCGAUCAGUGUGUGCACGCACACAUGUGUGCGCGCAUGUGUAUGAAUAUGUCAGUGUCUGUCUUCUGCUCUCCAAGUAACUAUGUUUCCAUUUCAUUAAAAAUUUCCAUUUGAUUUUGAUCAGUGGUUUGAAAAAUUAAAGAUAGGGAAUGAAAGUAAGAAUAAAGUAUUUUGGUUACCCCUUAACAACUUUUGCAAUAUUAUGAUCCAUUAUAAAAUGAUUUGUACAGUUCAGUUACGUGUGUAGCCACUGCUACAGCGAUGGUGAUGUGGUUGGAGCUACUUAUCAUAGUAUAAAUACAAAAGGAAAGUUGGUCAUAGUAAGAUGAUCCUUAUGUUUUAAAGGUGCAGUUUAAAAAAUAAAAGACAUCCAAAAAAGUGAUUUUCUCUUGAUGCAAGUGUCCUUCCUGUGUACUGAAUCACAACUCGAAAUGGCAGUAGAUUUAACAUUUAAAAAAAGUUUGAUGGACAUAGCCCAAGAUAAUUUGUUCUCUUGUCCAGUUUGCUAAGUUUUCCGUGAAGAUUAUUAUCAGAUCGAAUUUUACAUGUUCUUGAACAAUCAGUCACUUAACCUUAUGUGCAGUACUGUGUUUUUAGACAACGUACCAGAAAGUAAGAGAUAAUUCAGAGCUUACAAAGUGAGAAACAUAUGACCUUUCUGUUAUAAUUAAUGUUAACAAUGCUAGUUCUUAGUACUUAAAUUAUGUAGAAAAUGAUAGUUGUCUCAUAUGCUGUUUAAGGUUUUCAUAAAACACCAAUUUCUGUACCUUUUCACGAACCUUUGUUUAUACUGCUCUACCAAAUAAGAUUUUCAAGCUUUAGGUUUUUAAAAGCUAUUUCAAUUUUUAUCCCUAAGUUUUCUAGUUUGUUUGAAGACAGUUGCAUCAUUCAAACACAAAAAAGAGGGAGCAGUUAAUUAUGCUGUUAGGAGCCCUAGCUUAUGUCAUGGGAGGCUUUUGGUGUUCUUUUGACAUAUUGUCCUCUAGCAGGGGGAAAAGCUAAUUUAAAGGCUGGUUGAUGAAGAAUUGGAAGCAGAGGGAACAAAUCAAAGUUUAUGAUAAACAGCAAAGGUACUUUUUUACUCAAAAUGUAGUGUUUUCUUCAAUCUUGUAAAGAUAAAAUGUUCUUCCCUUUUCAAAAUAUGUGAUGUCUCUAAGAAGGACUGAAACUGUUGGCCACCAGUGUUUCAUGGGUUAAUGCAGGUUGUUUAGAUAUAGAUCGAGGCAAAAUAUGUAUGUUUAUGAAAAGCUAUGAAAAAGAUCAGUUGGUCAUAUUAGCUGCUUUUUCAAGAGAUUACUCCCUAAAUACAUUGUCAUAUUUUUAACAUGAGCCUUAAAACAAGAAUUUGAUGAGCUGAAUACUGCUUUAGCUAUCGGGAUAUAUUGUCUGAACACAAAAGUCUGGACUUGCUUGACUUGUAUUUCUUUAUUUCUAUCAGAACAUAAAGAAGACCUAAGCAGGGACAUCCCUUAAAGAUGCUAUGUUUGAUUUUUCUUGUAAACUGGUUUGCAAGAUGUGAGACCCAAAUGUGAGAGCCAGUUUUAUUUUGAAGUCUAGCUGGUGGUUUCAGGCAAGCAGAUGUUAAAUAGCUCCAUCUCUCUGAAAUAUGUCAACGUUUUGUAUGCUGCUAUUUCCAUGGAAACUGGUAUUGGCUCAGCAAAAAUGGCAUAGGGAUUUCAAAACUACAUUUAAAAAAAUAAAAUCAAGAUAGUUAGUCAUUCAUAUUUUUACUCCUAAAUGCUGAUAUUGGUCACGCUGAACAGAACCCAUCUUUUGAGUAUAUUAGGUGUAGUCAUGGGAAUUGGCAGGUCAGUGAUUAAUUUUUUUUAAUUAUUUUUUUUUAAAAGUGAGCUAGUGUUUCAUAGAACUUCAUUAGAAAAACAUGCAUUUAUUUAACUUUUUUUCCAGCACAUCAUUGACUUCUAAGUAGUUGAAGGCAGUCACAUUUUCAUUACUUCUUGAGACCUUCCCCUUGCUCAAAAAAGGUGAAAUACACAUUGAAUGAGAACUAGAAACAAGUUUAAGCUUUUUGGCAAACUUACACAAUUCAUUUUUUAUAUAUAAAGUGGCCCAGAAAACACUUAAAAGUGAUCACGUGUGAGUUUGGAAUCUUCAGUAGCAUGUAAAAAAGAAGCCCUAUUUCUUUGGGCUAGUUUGAUUGCCUUUGGGGACGAUUGCUUUAAGAAUAACCUGCUUACAGCCAAGAUCGUUACCCCAGUUCAGCAUUGCUAUGGCACUGAAAAACAGGCUUUAACUAGCAGGACUUACUACUUCCCAGCUAUUGCCCAAAGGAUAACUCUCAUGCAUGACAUUAAUUUGAGGACAGGGACUUCCAGGAAUUCCUGAAAAUAUGAGGAUGCUUCUAAUUGUAGUCUUGCAUCUUCAACUUCGUUAUCCAGAAAUUCAAAUUUAUUUUCUAACUCAAGUAGUGAUUAGAUUAUGCCUUUUUCAAUAUAAAUAAAAUAUCCUAAGUCCUCUAGACCAGUGGUUCCCAGCUGGUAAAGAACUAUGUUCAAAGUGAGGCACAGAGUGGGAGAGGAUGUGCUGCAUGUGUGAAGCAAUUGAAGAGAAAGCCUGGUUCAAGGAGAUGGUAAGAAAAGCCACCAACACGCUGUGGAGCUGUGCUGUAAGUCAAGGCUGUGCGGGAGGCACCCAGGAUUAGUGUAGUCCGGAACAGACUGUUGACAUUGCAUGAGGAGGAGGGCAAUAAAGCAAAACUGCAGCUCUGGAAGAGAAAUGGGACUGAGAAGGCAAGGGGCUAACAAGUAGGGUGAGGAAACAGUAGCAGCAGCAUGUGUAUGUGAAGGAGACAGCUUAGAAAAACAGCUGUAAUGAAGCCACCUACUGAAAAAAAAGAAACCCAGGAACAUUGCUCUAAAAAAUGUUGGCAGUUUUCCAAAAGAACGAAGACUUUUUUUCACUAAAGUGGAAUUUGUUUGACAGAACAAUUCCCUUGAAAUAAAAUUCUUUAAACAUUGGAUCACUAAAUAAUGAAGGGUAAAGUGCUUAGUGACCUCAAUUAGAUUCCAUAAAAGGAUACCCACUAAAGAUCAAAAUGUGUUUCUAUAUAGGCUAUACUUAAAUAUUUUCCCAAAAUACAGGGGAAGACAAGUCUACUAUUCAUGCUUACAGCUUUCUAAGUCUCCUAAUGCUUUUCAGAUAGGAAAAGGGAAUUAGCAGUGUUUGCCUAUUCUCAAAACUAACUGAAUGUUAUCAGUGCACCAGCCAAACCAGAAAUGAAACUUUCUUCUAAAUAGGAGACUCUGCUCUCUUUCAUAACUCUACAUCUUUCACCUUCCAUGUCUAAGGAUUUCUUGGUUGAUUAUGAAAAAUAAAGCUGUGAAUAUCAAUUUCUCUCAGAACAUAGGAGCACAAGAAUAAGUACACUGGGUCAGACCAAAGGCCUGCCUAGGCUGGUAUCUUGCUCUUUUUCUAACCAUCUUCAAAUAGUAUGAAAAAUGCAGCUGAUUUUUUUUUUUAUUCUCCUGUCCAAUCGAUUUUAGCUAUAAGUAAUGUGGUCGCAGACUUAGCAAUGUUUGCCAGGAAAAAAGAAAUGCAGAGUACUUCUGUGUUUCAGCUACGGGAGUACCUGUAUGCCAAGAAAUUUUGUCUGUUGCAGACAUACCGUUAAUGCCGCCUUCUAAGCAUUGUUCAAACUACUUGAAGAUUACUCUAACUCUACAAUUUUUAUCAUUAGCUUUCCAUGGUCUCUUUCAGACCAAUUUAUGGCAAAAAUGAGAGUAUUGCAAUUAAAGGUAUUAGUGGGUUUAGCAAGGCAUUGUUAGGCCUAAGAAUCUUAACAUAGGGCUAUUCCUAAAUAGAAAACAAGAGAUGGCCUGUAGCAUACAAAAAAAAAUUAUAUGCAUUAGGAAAUUGAUUAUGUAUAUAGAGUAUUAUAUAAGUGAAUGUAUAUAUGUAUGUAAUAUACAUGUAAUAUACAGUUCUGUGUAUGAGUAUUAAAUCCAACUAUUUCCCAACAUCAGUUAUCUAAUGACUUUGUUACUCUCUAAACAUGCCAGAUAAGAUCAUUCCAUUCUAUAUACAAAAGUAACCAGAUUACAGGGAAAAUCAGGACAGAAAAAAAAUAUUAAAGGAGCUGUUAUAUUAUUGUAGAUAUCACAGCCAAGAUGGUACACAUGCUAAAAUGAUUCCUGAGCACUAACAGAUUAUUCUGCUUUUUAUAUAGAUGUGGGGUUUUCAUUCGUUGCUUUAAAAAGCAUCAUACUUAGGCAAAUUCAAAGAAAUACAGAGAGCUUCAAUAUUCUAGAAGGUAACAAGCUAAAAUAAAAUUCUGAUUACAGAGUUCCCCAUCAAAUUACUGGGAAAGGAGGAUAGUGCCAGCGUAAGAGUCAGGGUGUGACUACACAACUGUUGAAAACUAGUUCAGGUGUAAACAUCAGCACCUUCUUGUUAGUGUACUUUCUUCAUGGUAAGUCAAGUUAAUUUAUUACUUCAUAACAAACAGUUGCUGACCUCGGUGCAAGAGUAUGUAAGCGGCAGUUACUGAAAGGUAGCACAUUUGCUUGUACACUUACCCUCGUGCACCCUCACAGCAGCUUCUCCUUUGUAUGCUGACUGAGUCCUGCAGGCUACAAGGGGUGGAAAGUAGCAAGUCCAGCACAGCCACUACAAAAGUGACAACUUGCCUGUGAUUAGCCACAGAAGCUUUUAUACAGUGCCAAAGGUUAGACAGUGACAGAGUUAAGGAAGAUCUGCGUACAGCAAGUGAAACAUUGCCAAGUUAGUCUUACAGAGGAAGGUUACAGAUCAAUAACAGGAGCUCAGGAUUUGUUGCAUAUGUUGGUGUGCGUAUUCACAUGAAUGCACAGGUACUGUGAGGAUCUGAAGCAUAGACUUUUGGCUUAAAAAUACCCAUGGAGUGAAUGCUUGUACUGUGCUGCAUGCAACCCUAAGCUUGUAAGGAAGGCAUGCCUUGAGGUCCUCAGCUCACUCAGUGCCUUGGGAGUUGGCCUUUAUGAAGCAGCUUUAACCAUGCUGCUGCUAUGUCAAAAUGCCUCAACUUUUGUGAAGACUUAAGUUAAUCCAAUUUUUGAAAGUCAAAAUCACUUUGACUUAUGAUUUUGCUAUAAAAGAAAGCAAAGCCAGAAGCCUCACAAACUUUAAACAACUUAAUUUAUUAGAACCCAAUAAAUGUUGCUUUCAUUAGAAGGAGGAAGUUAACACCUAAUUCAGGGUGAAAUUACAUUUUAAGACAAACAAAAAUUUGCAGUGCUUAAAUACAGUAUUUACUGAUGACUUUUUUAGAAUUCUGGUACAGGUUUAUAUUUACUGUGUGGUUAGUAUGGUUUCUAAUUCUGAGCAGGUUCAGCAUUUUAUUUUCAACUGGAAAUAUAUCACACCAUGCAAAGGACUACCCCCCAUCUGCCUCCCAGAAGUACAUAAUGAAGAGUUUUGGCUUAUGCAUAGAAAGCUUAAGCCUUAAACAAAAAACCCUCAAAAUGCAUAAGCAGAAUCUGAAGUUUUUAUUUCAUGAAGAAAUUGUAUAUUUAAGACUCAUUGGUAAGAGAUCCCUGUAGCCAAAAAUUGUUUGAGCUUUGAAAUUUAUUUAAAAGGUUUACUGAAUUGCAUCAAGUGAACCUUAACUGUUAUUUUAAAUCUGAACCUGAGUACAGAAAUAAUAAAAGUACAAUCACCCAUGUCACAGGCCCUAUAAAUUAUUUUCACAGUAGCCCUUUUGGAAAAGCAGGUUGGGUUAAUCAUCUUAAUUUCCACUACUGUAGAUCAACAGAAUCAUUUCCAUAAAAUUCAGAAAGUGCUUAAACACAGAAUACAAAAAAUAUCUAACUUACAAACUCUUUCGAGAUAGAAAAGCAAAAUGUGGAACAUGCCAGAUGUCUGAAGAGAUUGUAUCAAAGUACUGUAAAUUAACUUGAGUGACUGUGAUGGAUGUGAUGUUCUUGAAACAGUAGAACAGUGCAUACAACAUUGUAUUUACCAACGGCAAGGGUUGUUCCUUCCAUUAAAGUUCUUAAAAAGCUGUA
Molecule: RNA transcript, 8380 nt
Organism: Dromaius novaehollandiae (emu)
Lineage: Eukaryota; Metazoa; Chordata; Aves; Casuariiformes; Dromaiidae
Exons: 5
Source: RefSeq, a predicted model, not a curated record